GAUGAACGCUGGCGGCGUGCCUAAUACAUGCAAGUCGAGCGAACGGACGAGAAGCUUGCUUCUCUGAUGUUAGCGGCGGACGGGUGAGUAACACGUGGAUAACCUACCUAUAAGACUGGGAUAACUUCGGGAAACCGGAGCUAAUACCGGAUAAUAUUUUGAACCGCAUGGUUCAAAAGUGAAAGACGGUCUUGCUGUCACUUAUAGAUGGAUCCGCGCUGCAUUAGCUAGUUGGUAAGGUAACGGCUUACCAAGGCAACGAUGCAUAGCCGACCUGAGAGGGUGAUCGGCCACACUGGAACUGAGACACGGUCCAGACUCCUACGGGAGGCAGCAGUAGGGAAUCUUCCGCAAUGGGCGCAAGCCUGACGGAGCAACGCCGCGUGAGUGAUGAAGGUCUUCGGAUCGUAAAACUCUGUUAUUAGGGAAGAACAUAUGUGUAAGUAACUGUGCACCUCUUGACGGUACCUAAUCAGAAAGCCACGGCUAACUACGUG
Molecule: ribosomal RNA, 497 nt
Filed under: uncultured bacterium
Lineage: Bacteria
Description: partial 16S ribosomal RNA
Rfam family: Bacterial small subunit ribosomal RNA
Source: RNAcentral